This 247-nucleotide long non-coding RNA is filed under the name Castor canadensis (American beaver). Its description in RNAcentral is "lncRNA (ENSCCNG00000012803.1)". Lineage: Eukaryota; Metazoa; Chordata; Mammalia; Rodentia; Castoridae. The record is from RNAcentral.
GUGGCUCUUGUAAUUUUACAAUCUGUAUUAUGAAAGCUUGAAAAUACAUUCUGGUUACUGAGGACUGAAUUCCCCAUGGGACAACACAUGUAGGAGACACCUGACACCACUGAAGUUUCUCUCAGAACAGACGGUCAUCAGAGGACAAAAGAAAUUCGUGACCAUAUUUUCUGGCGUCACCUAUAAAAUACUGAACUUGCAACAUUUUGAUCUUUUCUUUUUUUUUUUUUUUUCUUUUAUUAUUCAU